GCUGCCCACUGGUAUCAUAUCUAUGCGGGUAUUGAUGUCGUUGUAGUGUUAGGCUGGGUUAUUGCAUGGUCUGACAAAAUUCAGCAAAAUAGCAGGAAGUUUGCGAGAGGAAAGUCUCACAACGAAUCGUGAACGACUGCCAACGAGACUAGUUCGAGUACUGAUACAAUAAUAACACAAACCCAUGCAGAAAAGUUGGCUCCACAUCUCUUUCAUCUCCCCUGUCCAGAUCGCGAUCACGGAAAGAAGCCGUCAGGAUAAAUCGAGACUGCUAUUGUCUGUUUGUUGGUUCAUGUGGAAUUUGGCGAGUCAAACACGCGCAAAGAUAGGAACAUUUAUUCGGCUCUCUGUCGAACGUCUCUUCUUACAACUAGUGGCUGUCUUCUGAAGAUUCAAAGUUGCUCAGCUGGUGCGACUACGUGUAAAGUAAAAGUUCGUGGUACUCUUACGACAGAUCCGGCAACGAGAUUUACCAUUGUUACUGUUACGGCACAAGAUGGAACAGUAGGAAAGUGCAUUGAAUUCACCACAGCUAGCCAAGUUAAAUAUGCUUUGAAGGUCGACAAUACGACUAAUAUAAUUUUUGAGAAACAGCACAAUGGGUGUGAUAACGGAAUCCCUGAUGACUUCAUUUUCAAAGAAGCGAGAAAAAUCCCUCGCCAUUUCACAUAUACACACAAUGCGAAGUGUCUUGGUACAAACAUUGAUGGCGCCUUGUCCUUAAUGAAUAUUAAUGAUAAAAGAUGUAGGUACCGUCUUUUUAAGUGGACUUGAAUUUAAAAAAGAUAUAUACUUUUAACCGAUACUUUGCCUGUCUAAUGCCCUAUUCACACCAGCAAAACACGUUUAGUUAAACCAGUUUUAACUAAUCAAAAGCCAGCUACUAGAAGUUGGAGGUUUAAAUUUUUCAUAGGAUUCCAGUAAUCACCAACUUUUAUUUCUUUUAUGCGUGUUUGUGCUAAAAUUUGAAGUCAGCAAAAAUAAUUUUUGGCAGCUUCUAUCAAGAAAACGAUUUCAAAUAUUUGUCGAUAAAUCAGCUUUAAAACGCUUGCAACCAUGAAAGCUUCGGUGUGAAUGGGUCGUAAGAUUGCAGCGCAAGAUGACAGUGGAACACUAACUAACCCUGAUGGAAAACUUUAUACAGAAUGCAAAGCUUUCUCUCUUAUUUUUUCUGUUGUUGUUAUUGAUGAUUUCUUAAACAUUUCGUGUUAGUUUCCUAGCGACUUAUGUUUUCGUUAGUAUCUAGUUUAUAUGCACAUUGACAAGACAACCAUAGUAUCAAAAGUGAAAACAAUUAUUAUGCAACUUAUUGAUCGAUCAUAGGUAGUCGGAUUUCUUCCCUUACUGGUCUUGAAUUGAAACUGAAAGUACUAUAUUUUUAUCAGCUUUUAUUUACGAUGUUAACCAGCCUUAAGCUGAGUUUAAAAAUGCUUGCAAUA
RNAcentral lists this unclassified non-coding RNA (1439 nucleotides) under Pocillopora damicornis (cauliflower coral). Its description in RNAcentral is "uncharacterized LOC113664161, transcript variant X2". Lineage: Eukaryota; Metazoa; Cnidaria; Anthozoa; Scleractinia; Pocilloporidae. The record is from RNAcentral.